Long non-coding RNA from Falco peregrinus (peregrine falcon), 546 nucleotides. RefSeq lists it as uncharacterized. NCBI's taxonomy places the organism in Eukaryota, Metazoa, Chordata, Aves, Falconiformes, Falconidae. The transcript is spliced from 3 exons. The record is from RefSeq and is a predicted model, not a curated record.
UGCUGGCAUUGUGGUGCUCAGCUUCUCCCCCUCCAUUUCCCAGGCUCCAGAGACUAAUCCUUCCUUCAGCUGGUUUUGCUGCUGCUAUGGCAAUAUUUUCUCCCCCAUAGUGGUAAUCAUGCAAUGGUCUCUGAGAACAGCAGGAGAAGCGGUGCCUGUUAGAUGCAUAAAAGUCACAGGAGCUGGGAUGUUAGGGGAGAAGCUGGUGUAUGGUCCCUGUUCUCUGGGGAUGCAGUUCCCGCCUCUUUGGGUACCUCUGCCUGGUGCCUCCCAGCUCUGCUGUCACCUGCUCCGGGCAUUCAUGGAGGAGCUACCCUUGCUUCCAAGGCUGCAUCUAAGAGCUUGUGACUCUGCUUACCUUUUGAAAGAGAAAAGGAAACCCCAGCGGGAGCUGGUGCAAGGCAGGGGCAGGUCUGUGUGAAGAGUGAUGAAGUAUAUGGAUGCUCAGAAGGCUCCGGAUCAGGGUAAGAAGUGCUCGUGGAAUUAUCCUUUGAAAUGUACACUCUCUGCAGGGAGGCCCCGGGGAUCAUCCUUGCUGGAGGAGAU